CCAGCUGACCCUGGUAUUUUUAGCUCUGGAAUGCUCCUCCCAAGCCCCCUUCACUUCUGUUUAUCAUGCUUUUGAGUCUUUGUUUCCCUCUGGAAAUUCUGCAUCUGCAGCAGAGAUGGGUGGAGUGGGGAAGAAUGGGGGGAGACAGGGCUGGGCUUUGGAAGUGGUGGGAGCUGCUCCCUCUCUCUUUCCAUCCCAACCCCCACCCCAACCUGGAGGCUGCCUUUUCCUCCUUUCUACAUUUAAGCUGGGGAAAUGGAGAGAGUUGGAGAAACCUCAGCCCUCGAGGGGUUAUUGUCCACUGUCCCCAGCCCCGGCCUUAGGUGGCCUGCCGUUCUUCUCACCUUUCCUUCCUCCUGUAGGCUGGGCAGGAGGGAUGGCCCUCCACCCUUUGUCCCUGGGUCAGGACAUACUGCCAGUCUCUUGAAGGAACUCCUGGGCUGAAAUGAAUAACAGGAGCAGCUGAUCUGGGGACAGAGAAUGGGCAUGAUCUCCGGAGCUUGAUUUAGUGACCUUCUGCCUUGGUUUCUUCCUCUGUAAAAUGGGAACGACUGGAGUCCCUUCUGUCUGAGGGAACUUUUGGAGGCUGCAGGAGAAGAAGCUGCUCUGUAGGGUCAGCCUAUGCAGCCACAUCUGCCAGGGUGCCUGUGCUCACUGUCAUGAGUGUUCUGGGGUCUUUUCUUUUGGGCUCUGCUUUAGUCACUGCCAGACCAAAGAAAGUUCUGCUCUGGGCUUUGGUGACAGUGAGUGUCACCUUCUUCUCUUCCUCCCACCUCACAUAUGGGGUACAGUUCUGCACUAAUGCUGGCUAUAAGGGACUCCUUUAGUGCACUGUAAUCACCUCCUGCCAACUCCCAGUCACAGACCCCAGACCUCAAGGCCACUGAUAGGGGGUGGACCACUAUAGCUGGACAGGUGAUGAGUGUAACUGACAUUCCCUGUUGUGACUUCCUGCCUGGGUGGACAUGUUGUCCUUUCCCAUUCUGUUCUUUAAGCUCAUCCGUCCUCAUGGAGGGCCUGGCCUUGCCUGGAGAUGGAAACUGGGAAGAGACUGAGGCAGCCAGCGUUCACCUUGGUCAUCCUACUGUUGAAGGGAUAGCAGGGAUAUUCUGGCCACUGAUGUGGCCAGUGUAUCAGUCCAAAACUGCUCAUGUUCCAGGCUCAGAGGCAGCCCUGGGGCAGGGGGCCCUGUACCAGCGCAGGUGGGCAUGCCUGGGUCCGCCCUGGGUAGAGGUAGGGCCAUGAGGAAAGCCGUGGGGAUAACCACUAUCCCCUGAGGCCACCUAGAGAUGGACAAGAGGUGGCAGCUGCUGUAUCCCGAGAAAGGCACUGACCUUUAGAACAGGAGACAGAAAUAGCCCAGGGAGAACAAGAUCCUGUGUGGGAACAAUGUCCAGGCCCUGCAGAGCAGGCCCAAAAUGAAGGAGGGAGGAAGACACUGCAGCAGCAACUGCAAUGCCAGGUACCCAGCCAGCCCUGCUACCUGCCUUCUUCCCCUAUUUCCCAACUCUAGCCUUUGGGGUGGGCAUUGCCUCCAUUUUACAGGGGAGGAAGCCAAGGCCCAGAAAGACACAGCCAAGCCUGUAACAGCAGAGCUGGGACUGAGCCAGACCUAGCUGGUCUGACAGUGCUGUUAGUUGCAUCCCUCUUCUCCUGCCCUUUUGGGGUGUGGAGUGGGCUGAGUGAAGCUAUACUCAAGGCUGGCUUGGAGGCCCUGAAAGGUCAACCUCAGCUACUGCUGUCUAUCAAGUGACCCAGGGCCCUUGACCUUGCUCAAGAAAGAGGAUUAGCAGUUGUCCUGUCACUUCCCCCUAACUCAGGCUCACGGCUGAGUAGAGCCCUGGAAACCUGUCCCCUGAGGCCAUGGCAAAGACAAACUGCUCCCUAGUUCAGGCUGAGGUCUUCUAUGUGAGAAUAACAGGGACAAAAUAAGGCUGCAUGGAGAUGGGCUGGCUGGUUUCUCCCCCUCCCUCUGCGGCUCCCAGCCUCAGAAGCUCCAGCUGUUUCUGCUUAUCUGAAGCCUGGGAGGCUGGUUGCCUGGAUACCAGUGCUGCUGAUUAGCAGACAGAGCUGCUGCAUACCCAGCUAGAGCAUCCCUAGGCAGUUGGGCAUGGAUUCUCUAGGCCCCAGCUCUUGGGAAGGUGGUAAGGGAAGAUGGGGACAGGGUGGGGCCCACUCCCCCUUGCCAGGAGAUGUUUCUAAGGGAUGAUUUGCAGCUAGAGAAAUGGAACCUUGUCUUCUACUUGCUGUGUGACCUUGGUCACAUUUAACUUUUCUGAGCUGUUUAUCCCGGAAGAGGUGAUAAAUAACGCCCACCUCAAAGAGCUGUUUACAGAAUGAGUGUGAUGUUUAGGGUCACCACAGAGCACAGUGACUCCAUGAUCAUAACCCCUUGCCCCCACUAGCACAGCUGGGCCCCAUCUAGAAUCUUCUGCAUGUGUGCAACAGGGAAGCUGAGGCAGGCCUCUGGGGAGCCUCAGAGGCAGUGGCACCUCAGCUCCCACUUCUCCCAUUUCCUUGCUGCAGGGAGGGGACUGUGACAUAUGCAUGGGACCCCCGGGGCUUGGCUGGGAGAUAGGGGCAAACCCAGAGAUGGGCUGGGGAAGAUUGGUCAAGAGAGCAGGCCAUAGAUCACACUAGGAGGUAAAAGGAGAGCAGGGUUGGCAUCCACCCACUGUGAAUGUCUCAGCCUAUCUUCCUUUCUUGACCACAGGAGAAGCAACUGGCCUACAGGUGAAAGGCCAGGGAUGGGAACAAACAUGGUCCAGCAUUGCAGACUGCCCAAGGUGAUCUGUCACCAGCCCUGAGAUGCCCAGGUACAUUCCCUUUGUGUUGACUGCAGCUGGGGGAAGGAAACAGAGAAGGCUGCCCUUGGCUGAGGACAAGGAUCUGCGUGACGUCUUCUUUGACCUUGAGAGUGCUUCUGCUGGCCCCACCUCACAGUUGACUCUGCUGGAACUUUCCCCUUUGGCACUGUCUGCCCAAUAGCAGCUUUCAGACAUCUCCAAAGGCAUCGUGGGCCACUGCAUUUUCUCACAAUGAGUCAAACUCUCAUCUGAGGCCUGGAAGACAGGAUGACUGGUGGGGGAAGGGGGAAGAGGAUGCCAUUGGGCUGAAGCAUGGAGGAGAGCAGCCUGCCGGGGCUGCUGGUCUGAGUUCUUGAGCCCUGCUAACACCACUGUCAACAUCAAUGUAUGGCAUAUGCCAGGGUCUUGCUCUUGGUCUGCCCUUAUUUGAGAUGAGUGCUGCAUUUCUCUCGUGUUCUGAUUUAAGAGCCUUGACUCCUCUUUCAUUCUAACUGCUGUGUGACAGUGGGCAAGUCAGUUCACCUCUCUGGACCCCAGCAUGUGACAUGACAGACUGAUCAAAGAAUCAUGCCACCUGCUUUGGCAUUUAAUGAGAAGAGGUGGUGGUUUUCUGGACUUUGGCCACUUCCAAUUUCUCUUCCCCUUUUCCUUUAAGAUCAAACAAAUGAACAUGUUGCUUCUUCUUCUUCUUUUUUUUUUUUUGGUGGGACUGGGGUUUGAACCCAGAGCGUCAAGCUUGCAAAACAGUUGUUUUCCUGUUUGAGCCAUGCCUCCAGUCCUGCUUGUUCUUUUUAUAUAUUUAAUACAUAUCCACUGAAGUAAAGAAACAAAAGGGCUACAUUAAAAAUCAUCACCCAAGCCAGGCACCAGGGACUCACAUCUGCAAUCCUAGCUACGCAGGAGGCAGAGAUCAGGAGGACCGAGGUUCGAAGCCAGCCUAGGCAAAUAGUUCAUGAGCUCCUAUCUGGAAAAAACCCCGUCACAAAAAAGGACUGGUGGCAUGGCUCAAGGUGUAGACCUUGGGUUCAAGCCCCAGUGCCGCAACGAAAAAAUCAUCACCCCAAAACAAUCACUGUCAGCAUUGUUUAUUAUUCUCUCUCUCCUUGUUUACUCUUCUGGCAGAUGCUGAGGAUUUAUCUGUGACAAGAAGACAGGGUUUCUACCCUUUUGGUGCCUCCAUGUCAGUGGGAAAAAGUCUACAUAAUUGCUAACACCUAUGACAACUGAGCUACAGCUUUCUGGCUAUGCAGCUCUCCCCUCUCCAUCUCUAUUGCCAUUGAUUUUCUCUUGAGAAUCCUACUUCUUCUUGUGCACAUUUCUGCUUUGGUUGGAAAGGUACAGUGCAUCAUGGGAAAGGAGGCUCACAUCCAGGUCAGCUUUAAGCUAGGACCUGGCCCCCAUCCUCAACAGAGGCAGGAUUUGCUUGAGCCCUUGUCUAGGGGCUCCAGGCUGUUUGUGUCCCAUAUCUUCUAUCAUUAAGUCCUUAUCCCAGUGGCUAGAAAGAAGGGGCCCUGCAGAAGCACCUGCUGGGCUGAGAGAAACAUCUAGCCUCGUGGUUUCUACCCAACCAGCAGCCAGAACCUGGCUUGCUCCCGUGGUAUUUGGAACCUCCAAUAGCCCUUUCCUUGCACCCCAAAUGUUGUGAAGAAGGAGGAGGUAGCUGAGGAAGGAAGGAAAAAGUGAGAGAGGAGAAGGAGGGGAGAACCAGCCUGGUUUCCAUAGCAACCACACAUGUGAGCCAGCUGCUGUCACCAUGGAAACAAGGGGAGCCUGCUCAGAGGCUGCACUGUCUCAGGGGAGACACAAUUUUUGACAAAAAAAAAAAAAAACACAAACAAAAACUCUUUGAUAAAACUAAAC
Non-coding RNA from Castor canadensis (American beaver), 4667 nucleotides. Lineage: Eukaryota; Metazoa; Chordata; Mammalia; Rodentia; Castoridae. The record is from RefSeq and is a predicted model, not a curated record.